UAGAAAUGUAUGAGGGGUUUCAGAAGAGAGUUCUUGCCCCAUAGCACUGCCCUUGCUUUUUCUGCAUUCUUCCCUCCUCUGAUACACAUUUUCGUUUCACACUUUACCAGGCUGAUAAGUCAGGCACAAAGCAAACCACUUUGCAAGAGCUCAGCUUCUCAUCCCACCAAUUGAAAUAAGCAAGAGAAGAGUUGCAGAGAAGCAGCAACCAAGGUCAGUUCAGAAGGGUGUGGGCAGAAUAGUAGUCUGUUUAGCAUGAAAAUGUCAUGAUGAAGCAUCUUCCUGAGUUGUGCUGAGGCACUUGAAAGAUGGAAGAGAAAUGUCUUAAGUAAAGAACAUGUUAAAAGUGGCUGCUCAUAACACCUGGGUAGAUAUUUCCAAAUGAAGGUACAUUUUGACAUUCCGGGCUUUCAGUAUGGAUUGGGCAGUGAUAAAUGAGGACUCUAGGUGGAAAAACGACACACCCUUACCUUUCCGAAACAGUACAUAAGAGUCCACCAGUGCAUCCCAUUCUCAGUGAAGUUUGAUCAGCGUUUUCUUCUUUAAUGCAGUUGGGUCUAUUGGUGAACAAAGCCAGCAAUUGGUUUCUCCAUAGGAAGGAAAUGGAAAGAGGCCUCUGUGCCUUCAAUAGGAGUGGAGUAUUUACCCCCUGCAAAUAUUACCAGGCAGCUCUACAGAGACAUGGCUUCAUUCAGUGGUGGCUACAAGCCCAAUAUCCCCGUGUGAGGGUUUUGUGGUGUGUUUCUUUUAACUUCGUGGGGUAGCUGGCACUGCAUGAUGGGAAAGAAGAACGAGUGUUGGAAAUUGCGCAGGUUCCAACCUCUUUCGGUUCUUUCUCCAUCAUCCCUUUUGUGGGUUGUUACAUUUUUAUUUCAUUCUUCCUCCAAGAAAUCUGAGCAACGUAGAUUGAUUUGAUUACUUACUUACAUUUAUGCCUCACCUUUCUUCUGCCCUGGGCCCAAAGACAUUGCUCCCCCAUUUAGCUUCAGCCAAGUGGUGCCCCCCAUGCUGCCAGAUGGGGUCAGGCCUACCGUGUUUCUCUGCUUGCACAUGCACUAGUUUCAAAAAUUGGCCUGGUCCAGCAAGGUAAGUGAAGUGGUUUUACAGGCUCUGCAAUGGUUUCAUUCUAGUUGCUUAUGUAUUUAUUACAUACGAUUGUGUCUUUGCUUGUAUUCAUUUACACCCCACCUUUCAGCCCAGGGUGGCUCACAAGCACCAUAAAAAGCAAUAUGCAGUUGACAAAAACAAUGACCAACUGAAUUAAAAGGAUUUUAAAGGAUAUUUUUUUUGUAAGGUUGCAAAAGAAGAUGAAAUAUGGAGUUGCUGCUCUGUUAAAACAGUCUGCAAUCUUUGCUUAGGGUGGUCACUUGCACAGAGAGAGAUGACAAAAGAGGAUCAGAGUUGCAUAAAAAUGGACAGACACUGUUUCAUAUGUACAGUGUAGGUCAACAUUUAGUACCUAUGACCAUCAUUUGAAAAAUAAAUUCAGUACUUCUUACCAUAGCAUGUAUGUACCGCUCAGUCUGCCGUCCAGUCUUCAGUGCUCUCUCUCGCCCUCUCUUGUUCUGGUCCUUUACCUUUAAGCCGGACUUGAACUGGACAGCCUUUCAAAUAGAGGACUGUUAAAGAGAUGAGAUAUAACUACACCAUUCUAGCUACAAGCAAAAGUGGCACUUGAAAGCAAAGCUUUCCAAUCGAACAGAAAGAGCAAGGGGUGGUGGGGAAGGAAGAGAAAGGGAAGAGGAUGCACCUAUGAGCAGCCAGGAUACUUACACGUUUGUGUUUCUGGCUCAAGCCAGUUUAGCCCUUGCCUGGCCCAGGAGAGAGGGGGCAGGCGAAGGUUGGGAAGGUGACGGGGGCAGAGUCCUUGCUUCGUGCAAGGCUGGUUGUUGCUAACAAAAGCCAGAGAGAGAGCAGCAGCAGCCUCUUCUCUCUCUCUCUCUCUCUCUCUCUCUCUCUCUCUGUGUGUGUGUGUGUAGAGCAGAGCUCUUGGGGGAGGCUGGGCUAGCUAGCGUGUGCUCGUGUGUUGUUGCUCGCAGCUAUGUUCUCUGGCUUUCACAUCCACUUGGCUUUUUACACUGGAAGGAUCCCCAGCACUCUGAUAUUAGGCCAGGAAAAUAGAAGGAGCAAUAAAAAAAAUAAAAUAGAGGGUUUUCGGGGGUUUUUAAGAGAAGGGAAGGAAGGAGGGGGCUUUUAAUGAAUUGGCUUGAGUUAAAGCACUUAAUUUUCAGCUUAAAAUGCUUGAGGAUGGGUAAUGAUUUGAGGGAGGGUGGGAUGUUUGUUUGAGGUGGGCCUUUUUGCUAGUCUCCCUCCCUCCCCCGUCUCGUGAGCACAUUGCAAAUGGGCCUCCUACACACCAAAGUGUGCAGCUGUGCUUCAGUUUCCCCCAGUAUCCAGCUACCCUCAAACGCUAUCGUAAUGCAUAUUGCAUUUGCAGGAUCCAAAGGAACAUGGAAGGGAUUUCUCUCUCUCUCUUUACUCUGCAUUGUUUUCUCUCCUUUUGCAUUGCUUAUCAGACGGCACAUGGCACAUGUUCACCAUUAGUCUCUGUAAUGGACAAAUACAUCCUCCCCCCCUCCCCGCCAAAAAAGGGUGGAGAAUUUUUUUUCCUCUGCCCUUCUUUCACAAGGCCUAAACUUGCUUCCAUAAGAAAGCUCAAGGCUAGGCUGCCUUCAAGACAAGCUGCCAGACUCUUCUGCUAGGACUCAGCUAGAUUGGUAAAGAAAAGGCAUUUCAUACGUGUUGUAUAUGCAAUAUAACAAUGUGACACCAGAAGGCGCUGUGAAGUCCUGUCUUUCCCUACCAGAUUUCCCUGUAUGGGUUUGCAAUGUGUUUAACUGAAUUGCUUCUUUGACGUGUCUAGAUCCAGCCCUAGUGUCAGCCCAAGAAGUAAAAGUGAGAAUACCUCUGAGCAUAUGUAGAAUGUCUUCAGUUCGCUAUGAAGGUGGAAGCAGUAGCUGCUUUUGCAAAUCUCAGUGUUGGAGCACCCAGGUCAGGACAGAAUGGGAUAACUUUUCCUAAAUCUGAUCACUUCUGGUAUUUGAGAUUAAGCCUUUAGGGUUGCGAACUGCUUUGGCCUGAUCCUCUGCCUUGGAAGAGAAGAUUGUUCUGCAGAAAUCAGAAGGGGUAUAUUAUUAUUAGUAGUAGUAUUAAUAUUAUUAUUUUACAAAGUAUGAAGACAAAGUGACCUAUAAUGAGUAUGGGGUUGCUCGUGCGUAAGUUGCCGCCUCUCCUGGCUAUGUUGCCUUGUUAAACCUUUCUGUCUGGACAGCCCUUCAAUUCGUGGCUGCCUCAGUCGCUAGCAGAAUCCGUCAGUGGGCGUUUCUUAAACCUCUUCCAACAUAAAAGUUGUUUGACGCCCAGUCUCCUCCUACUCUCCCUGCGUGGAAGUCUUCUGCGCAGGGAGGGCGUGGAUAGCGGAGGACCCGUGCUCUCCCUGCUGGUGUCCAGUGAAGAGUCCUGGAGCCCUCUCACCGAUUCCCCCAUCUGCCCCCCUUUAUCCCUGGUGUAACGUUGAUUUGCUUCCCCCUCUGCUGAACUGCCUCUCUCCCUGCUUGGCCCUUCUCCAGCAUCAUUUGAGAGCCUUCCCUCCGCCUCAGGCUCCGAUGUCAGUUCCCUGACAUGACCUAAUAAUAUCUUCAAUCUAUCUGUUUAGAGGCAAAGGAGCCUUGCCCUCCUCGUCAUCUAGUGACCUUCCACACCAGUAGUCACUUGUCUCUUACACCCUUCUAUUUGGGCACUUUCGGGUUUAUUACUAUUCAUUCUGGAGAUUAGAUGAUGUUGGCUAUUUAAUGAACAUUCAUGCUUGCAGGGAGACUAGAUGAUGCAUCAAAGCAAACAUUGUCCCACACUUUCCAGUGUAUUUUAUCUGUCACUUCCCCUAUCACAAAAAGUCUAGUCUUUUAGCAAAGGGGGUUUGUUGCAGAAGAACUCCCAGUCAGCUUUAACUUUGCAACUUAGAUUUGCCUGUAUGUGACUGAAUCCCACCCCCAAAACAGCCACCGUCUGAAAGUGCCUUUUGUCCCCUCCUAACAUGUGAGAUGGCUUGCUCUGCAUGUGUUUCCACCACAAGUAGUAUGGUGUAGUCCUGGGCUCCUUUUCCAGUGGGAGCCUUGUGGGUGGGGGUCUGUGUAUGUCUCUCUUUCCCAUCCCUUGCAUUUUGGUUGCAGAGAGCAGAACUUCUCAUAGAAAACCCCGGCCUUAGCCAAGACAACACCCUCAACAUUAAAUCAGCACAAAAUUCCUCUGGGCUUUCUCAGAGUUCAGCCUGCAACUCUGACGAGGUAUCUAGAGGCACAUUAAAACAAAUCUGGUCAAGUAAAGGGGCAGGCAAGUGAUCCAUGCAAAGGGCCUGACCUUUGUGGAGCUUCAAAUAGAAAAGGCCUGUCUGUAAACAGUGGUAAUUAGCCCUUUCAAAAUUCUAACGACGAUUAAAAUGUAGGGAUCGUUAUUUUGUCAACAAACUUAGGAGGGCAGAGAGAAAACUUCAGUGCCAGCUUUUGCUUGCUGGCUCUUAAAAACAGAGGCACCCAAUGAACUGAGGAUGGGAACACAAGCAGAGGCCUUCCUAAAACCUUGGUGUCUCAUCCGUAGAACAAGAGCCAGCCUGAGCUGUAUCUGAUAUUAAGCAAGGACAGGUUGACUCUCCUUCUCACAACAAGGAAUCAGCACUGGGAAGCGUCUUUUAACUCUGUAAUAACAGGUUUCAUAGUAAAUGAAUGCUGAUGGUCAACUAGCCAAUUAUGGUUUAACUAUCCCUUGUUUACAGCAAGGUGUAAAACAUGCCUUUAGAGUACAAAGGAUCAGACUGCCUAAGCUACAAUUUGUCCUUCAUCCCAUUAUGCUCCCCUUAAGCAAGGCUGGCUCUCUCUCCACCUCCCUCCCUCCCUUCUCUGUGUCUCUCUCACACACAUAGGUAUGAGCACUGAGGAACAUACCUCCCCUCUGUUGAUUUGCGUUUGCUUUAUUUCAAAUGCAUAUUCUUGUUUACUUUUCAAAAUUUACAUAAAUGUCAGCAUUGUAUAAUUUCUAUGUUAACAAAGCAGUGAGCAAAAUCCCUUGUAUGUUUAUAAAAUAUUAUUGUUUAAUUCAUGUAGUUUAGGAAUUCCAAAUGUUGAGAAUAGGAAGGAGGCCAAAUACCAUCUGUUUAUAGCUCUGCUGCAUCAUCAUAUGUGCACUUAAAAAAAAAAAGCGGGAAAGAGCUCUCUUGGUCAAUCCACUGUAUUUUUUACUGUAUUUCAAUUCGGGGGCUCUAUUGAAUCACUCUUAGAUCUUUGCCAACAUUCCUUGAUAAGGUUUAAAUUCUGACCAGUUAAGCAAAAAGAAAUGUAUUCACUUCAGAAUAUGUGUUAAUUACAGAUCCAUGCUAGCUUUGCACGACUCUCUCUCUCUCUCUCUCUCUCUCUCUCUCACACACACACACACACACACACACUUUCUCUCAUUUUGUUUCAAUAUUCAUUUGCUUUUCUGAUAGGACAAGAUUUGUGUGUCUCUGAUUUUCACAUGAUCAUGAGAACUUCAAUAAUUAUGUGAUCAUGUCUUGGUUGUGUGACACAGGCCUAUUUUGGACUACAUUAGCAGCAGCAUCUCUGUAUUAAUUUCAUUCCCCCAGGAGUACUGGUUGGCAAACAUUAUUCCCAUGCAUUUUCCUAUGCAAACAGCUUAUAGGGCUAAAUCUGCUUAGCUUCGGCAGUAAGGCUGCACCAUGAUGUGGAAUAAAACUUUUCAAGCAGAAAUGCCCCCUCUCUUGAUUGCCACCUCAAUCAGUCCUGUGGAACCGGGGGGGGGGGGGGGGGACAGGGGAUGGGGGGACGACGACACUACUUUCACUUUUCAAAUUCAUUUAUUUGAGAUGAGGGUACUCAUACCUCCAUAGGUAUGACUCUCAGAAAUAUAUGCAUGUCAACCUUUUGGAAAGAUCAUCUUCAUCAGGCAGCUUGUAUUGAGCAUGAAUAAUUACUAGUAAUUUUUAUACUAGGUUUUCAUACAUCUCAAAAGUGGUCUGUGAAUAACCCAGAAUGGUAGCACUAGAGGCUAACAUUGUGUUGGCGUGAAUGUUGGGUUUGCAAACCCUGGCAAGUCUUUGACACACCUGCGGCCUGGAUGCUACAUGUCCCACAUCCAAUAUCAAUGUAGUCCCCAGAGUUCCAAUACAAAAUUUUGUGUUUGUGUUCAGGAGCUUUUAUAACCGAUACAACAAGUUGCAAGAUGCAUCAGCAGUCAUCGCACAGUCUGGUAGACAGCAGGUUUGUGGAGCUUGGUUGUUGAAGAAGGAGCCAUUUAAAUCCAACAGUAUUGUUGGUUGUAUGUACUGGCAUCACACAAAAACGUGAUACCCUGUUUUUCCAGGAUAUAAUGAAUCACACAUCCUCUAUUCAGUUGCCAUAUUUGGCCAUGACAAGACUUAUCUGCAGUUGCUCUCAGAAUAUUUGUUUUUCUGUUUGUUCAAGGUGGUCCAACUGGUUUUGUCUGUUGUUACUCUAGGUGUUAGAGUCUAACAUAUGAGAAAUGCAGAUGCAGCUAUAAAGCAAUAGUUUGGGGGUGGAGUAGGGCUGUCCACCUGUCAAUCACCUGAUGCCACAAUGAUGUCAGCUGAUGGGGCUUGCAAAGAACCUUGUGUGGUGCUUUAAAACACCCACAGUUAGCUUAUUGGGACUCUUUGCAAGGAGCAAGAAUUGCACCUUCAAGAAUUGGCUGGCAGCUCUCCCCACCAAUCACACUCUACUUUCUGCUGGAAUCAGCCAUACUAUGGAUUUCCCCUCUACAAUUCCCCUUCAAAGUCCCUUUUAUAUGACCUAUAAAGCCCUGUAGGUCCAAGCUAUCUGAAAGAAUGUACGGUAUUCCCUCAUAAGAACCUGCCUGGGUUUUGAUCUCUUCAGGGGAGGUCAUUUUCUCAGUCCUGCCACCCUCACAGGCAUGCUUGGUGGGGACCUGGGAAAGGGCCUUCUCGGUGGCUGCUCCCAGACUCUGGAACUUCCUCCUUGAAGAAACUCAACUGGCUCCUUCCUUGUUGUCCUUCCACCAGCAGGUGAAGACCACCUUGUUCCAACAGGCUUUGGGGAACUGAUUGCUUUUAAUCAGGGGCUGGUGCCGUGCUGUUUUUUGUUGUGAUUGUAUGUUUUAAGAUACAGUGGUACCUCAGGUUACAGACACUUCAGGUUAUAGACUCGGCUAACGCAGAAAUAGUACCUCGAGUUAAGAACUUUGCUUCAGGAUGAGAACAGAAAUCACACAGCAGUAGCGGGAGGCCCCAUUAGCUAAAGUGGUACCUCAGGUUAAGAACAGUUUCAGGUUAAGAACGGACCUCCAGAACAAAUUAAGUUCUUAACCCAAGGUACCACUGUAGAUCUUAGAAUCACAGAAUUGUAGAAUUGGAAGGGACCCUGAGGUCAAGGCCAACCCCUGCAAUGCACGAAUAGGCAGCUAUUAUUAUUAUUAUUAUUAUUAUUAUUAUUAUUUGUACACCACCCUUCAUCUGGAGAUCUCAGGAUACCAUCAUCUCAGAUAGAUAAGAACACAAGAUAUAUGUAUAUAGUUGUAAUUCUAUUAUUUGUUUUUUAAUUAUUCCCCCCCCCCUAUGUUUUUAGUAAUUCUUGUUUUUAUCUAUAAACUGUAUUGAGUCACGUCAGGGGAAAAGGCGAGGUAUAAAUAAAUAUAUAAUAAUAAUAAUAGUAAUAUAAGAUGACCCCAGCUGGCUUGCUGUCACCACCAAUCAACUGACUGAUGCAGAGAGCAAGCUUCCCUUGCUUGCUCACCUGCCUAUCAUCUCAUGUCAUGUAUGAUGUCAGGAAUGGGGCAUGUGGGCAUGGUUUUGGUGAAAAGGCCUUGUGGGCCAAAUUGGGUCAUGCAGCAGGACUAAUUGAGCUUGCAGGCUGCCAGUUCCCACCCCUUCCCUGGUCUCAAAUUACCUUGUUGCAUCAUUGCUUGCCUUGUGACAGAGGGAUGAGCCUCUGUUCCAUGGUCCCACAAUGUGGCAACCACUAGUUCACUAGAAGAGUAAUAAGGCAGAUAUUGCAACAUCAUUCACACAAUACCUUUAAACACUUCCAUCGAAUUGGUGGAUUUCAUCCAGUCAUCAGAUAAAACAAUUAACUUAUUUACUCUAGAGUAGUCCUGCUGUUUGUUGGAGUGCCUGUUCCAUCGGUUCCCCGCCCCAUCCCAGGAAUGUGACAAAAACGCUGAUUUUCAAAAGGUUGUCAGAUGUCUUAAGAAACCACAUUGGGGGGAAAAUAGCAGGGGCUCCUGAAAACGCUGCUACGUUAAAACUGCACGCUGUGUCCAUGCCGAAUACAAGGUGUGCUUGCUUAACUGAGGGAUAUGUCCUUUGUUGUUAAGUCACUAAGAAGAUUUGCCUUCCAAGCCCAUGUUAAUUAGUUAGCUUGUCAAGUCCUGUAGACGUCUUUCCACCUUUAAAAGCAGGAGAUUCCCUGAGAAAUGGGCUUAAAACAUCCUAGCAAGGGCUGGAACGCUGAAUGCCCAGAUUAGUGGCAGGCUUUGUUGUGCUUGCAUCGGGGCAACCCAGCUGCAGUUUAUCCUACUAUUGCUAAUGAUGCUUGGAGUGAUAGAGGUGGCUUGUGGAGCUUGCAUAUGGGGUCCCUUCCCUGAGGAGGCGGAAUAAUAGCUGCUACUCAGGUGGUAUAUGGGAGGAUAAGAGCAGAUCUGCAGUUGUGUUUCUGCCUGGUGCAUGGUGACUCCGAGCGGCACAAUAUCAAGGUAUAGAGUCUGAAGCAGGGCUACAUAUCUUCCUCUACCGCAGAGGGACCGAUGUACAGGUGGAAAACCAUGGCAGUAAGCUGGUUGUAUCCCAGCCCUGUCAGAAUGUACAUCUGCGAAUUAAAUAAUUUUGUUGCAAAGUGUUUGCCGUAUUAUGCAGUUGCUCAACUCCAAGCAUUGCUCACUGUGUUGAAAUUUCUUUUAACUUUUGCCCUUAAAGCUCCCUUGUGCCUGCUGCAAUGUUCAGUGUUACAGCAACUCAAAUUAUUUAGCUGUACCCAGUUAGAGGGAUAUUGCCUCUUUAGUUGUGAUGCAAGGAACUGAAGCUCAGACCCUUUGAAAAAACAGAAGAACCCUCCUCUUCUCCUGUCGCACACUCUGCUACUUACAUUGUUAUCUCCAAGCAAUUGGUGACAGUAAAAUGCACCUAAACCUCCCUUCCUAUGAACAGCAUUAAUAGGUUACGAGGAACACAGGAAAGCAAGGAAGGCAUAUCGAGGGUGGGGAAAACGAGGAGGAAAGAUGCUGACUAACAAAUUUGUCUUGUUUUGCAGUGGUGAAAUGUGUCAUUUCAAAUAGAAACGGGUAUAAUUCCAAGUCUGUAAAAGUAGAAAUGCCAUUAGGAGUGUGAUGCAGUGCCCUUAUGAAUGACUAGCCAGGGAGAACUAGAUUUCAUGGCCUUGGGCGUUUUAAAAAGAUAGCUCUGAUCAAAUGAGAAAACCAAUCUGGAAUCCGAGCCUUCAAGGGAGUAGCCAUAUAACUAUUUCAGCCCGUAAGAGUGACAGCGGAAUCCUAGACCACACAAACAUCAGCACAUGCCAGUCUGAUUGUGGCUUUGAAUUGCCAGGCGUUUAAAACUAGCCUGGAUUUGCCACUUGGCAGGCCGCUACUGAACAGCAUUAAUUAUGAUGUGCCAAAAGCCAAAAACAGGCUCGGCCCAUCCUGUGGAGUCACAGACAUACAAUACGCUGAGCUGAAGCAGCCUGAAGUAGCCAGGGGCUAUUCUUUGUAUCUUAGGAACUCUGGUUUAUUCCCUCAGUGUGUGUGUGUUUGUAAGUUUCCGCCGAGACUUUCCAUAGUCUAACUCUGCCUGUCCUUUGCUGGAUGCAUAUGGUGCAGAUGAAGAAAAAGGGUGGGAUUGGAGGAGGAGAAGGGAAGAAAAAGCUGCACAACAAACUACCCCCCCAACCGGGUCUAGCAGGCCUGGACCAUUCCUAGCCUGUCCUUGUAAGAUGACCCAGUUUCUCUAGUCUUCCAUCCUGUAUAAACUGAGAGCUAAUGUCUCCCACUCCCAUACAUGAGUGGGUAGUCUUGCAGGGGAGUUGACUCCCAGCAGUAUUUAAAACCUCAACAGCCCCAACUCUCAACAUCUAAAAGGGGAGAACAGCACCUUCCCAGCCUAGGUGCAACUUUUAUGAGUGGCUAGUCAGAGCCACCUGUCAAUCAGAACCUACUUGGCUCAAGAGCACCGUAGAAAUGGAAUGUAGCCAAAAUUCAGUUAUUCCUCCUGACCAUUCAGGAUGCUCUGUGCCUUGCGAGGAAGGCCUAGCUAGUUUUCUGAAAUGUAAUCUUCACUUUCUUAAAGUACCGAAAAAGCCCUUUCCCUUUUUCUUGCCUCUUAUCCUUAAUAAACUUUCAAAAAUUGGCUGUCAGGGUUCUCUGUGUGCAUUUGUGCCAGACUCAAAGGGAUAUUUUCCCUUCACAUGCCUAGACCAUUUGGCUUCACAGUGCUUGUGUUUAUCAGUGGGAUUUGGCAGACAAAAGUAAGCUCUGGUGAGAAAUGGAUUAAAACAGGAUGAUCCGUCUGCCUCACAAAUAGUCACCUUGCACCUUCAGGUCUCACUUCCACCCAAGGGAACCCCAGGGAGUGUGCUGGCAGUCUACCUGAAGAACCCCUUGCACAGCUAGACUACCCAAAGUGGCAGUCAUGGAAGGGGAGAAGAGAAAAGCCCUUUUCCAUUACAGCAUGUACUGAAAUGCGUGUGGAGAGCUACAACCAUCAUGGUGCCAGUGAUCCUGAGCCAUGUACAUGGCUUAAGCACAGAGAUGGGAAACUGAAGGUCUUUCCGAUAUUAUUUAGGCUAUAAUGCCCAGCUUUCCUGGCCACUGGGCAUGCCGGCUGGAGCAGAGGGGAGUUUGGAGUCCCUCGCCAUCUGAAGGGCCACAUAUUACUCACCCCUGGUUUAAACCUUUGUCAGAGCUUUCCUACCCAAUGUGCUCCACGUGGAAGGUUCCAGCUUGUGAAGAAUAUAGCAAAGAGAGCACAUGAUAUGAUUGCCUUCUCGACUCAAGGCCAUCACAUCUAUAUCUCCAUCCUUACUCUUAUGAGGUCAGGAUGGCAUGCGUGGGGUCAUCUGUGUAAUCUUCAUUUAAAAAGUACGGUGGGUUUGGUGUCAUGACCCCAGACACAGACCCUCACAUUACCCCAAGGAAGAUGCAGAUGAGGAGGUAAUUUGGCCUUCAGCACUCAGGAGAAGAUCCUCAACACCAUCUCCUGGGCCUUCCAGACCUGAGGGUGUAGGCCUCUCACUCCCCUCAGACAUAAGGGGAUGAGCCCCCAGUAGCAUCCCUAUCAUUUCCAAAGCAUCAAAUUCAGCACCUGCAGAAUCAGACAGGUCAGCACAUAGCUCCUUAACUACUGUAUAGCCCUUGUCAGCCUGUAUACAGCCUCUGAUGGUCCCUGUUCUUUGUUGAGACACCUUCCACAGCUUAGGCAGCAGGGCCAGUGGGAGCUGGCCGGGGUACUGACUUGCUAGAAAGACUUGCCUUGACCUGAAAAGACAGGGCUUGACCUGCUUCUUCCAAGUCCCGGCCCCUGUAGAACAGGAUAGUAGGUUAGGCUGACUGCCAGGAUUGCCCAGUGAUGUUCAAGGGUGGUGGUAGGGUUUUAACACAGUUCUCCCCAGCCCAUGUUCAACACUGCCAUACUGGGUCUCCGAUCUUGACCUAUAAAUGACUUGGGCUUAGCUAGGAAUCCAUAUUCCAUUGAAAUUUCCAAGAUAAACUGAGAAUGCCCUCUUGACUAUUCCAUCUGUGUGUCAGGUCUGGUGAUGAAGGCAAGGCACACAUGGAGGCAUUCUCAGUGACAGCUUCGCAGUUAUAAAAUUCCUUCCUCUUGGAGGCUCGCCAAUGUCCAUGCCCGAGCAUUUUUCCAGAAGUGCUGAGAGCUAUUUUUCUGUGAUUAAAGAGGGAAAUCUGCAGAGUAACUGUGAGUCCACCCCUGCUCUCUGCGAACUGGGUGGUCUUCCUACCAGUUUUUUAAGACAUCUGAUUUUAGAUGUAGUUUUGUAAAUAGGCAUUUAUUCUUAAAAUAUGUUGGAAGUGGGGAGGCAGACAAACCUAAAUAAGCACUGGCUUAAGCAAGAGAUCCACCACCUGGGGCAGUUAAAUGAUUUGGAUGGUAAAUGCAUUGGAAGCAAAAAGGGGCUAGGCUGUGAUAGAUGUCACCCAGGUGUGUGACUGGCAAUUUGCGUGAUGUAAGGGGAUUUCCUGUGUGAACUAAGGCAGAAGGUUGGCAUGCAGGCAGGCGGUCAAAGUGUUUAGGAGCUUGACUGAAGCUAAAAAUGGACAUUGCAUGGAAGAGAGAGAUUGAGAGAUGUGCUUUGGAUUACGGUGUGCUUGUAUGACCUGGGAGGGGGAAAGCUUCUGUCUUGGGGGUCUGUGCUGAUUGUUGCUUGCCAUCUAGAGUUCUAUAAAGUACCUUAUAAUGUGCCCUGAAAAGGAGACAUGUAAACCAGGCCUGUGCAUAGUUAAAAGAAAUUCUACGGAUUUCUAUGGGGCGUACUGAAAUAAGGGGUGCAUGGUUACUUCCCACCUCUUUCAAGAGUUGAACUACACAUGACUCUUUGAUGGGUGGAUCCCCCCCCCCGAACCUUAUUUUAAAACCUUAAGAAGCUGUGGUAAGUGGCAACCUGAAUUGAAAAUUUGUGAAGAAGGAAAAAUGCUGCUUACCUUUCUCUCUGCAGGCUGUUUGUCUUAUCAAAAUCACUGAGACCAGACUAUUUUUGUCCUGUGGGGGAGAUGAUGUGGAUAUAGGUACAAUUUGCGGAGGAGGAGCAACAGGUAAGAGGGAGAUGAUUAACUCUUCUCCUGUGUGUUGCUUUCCCCCUGCACCCCUUUCCCAAGCUGGGGUUCCUUUUCUAUCCUGUGCUUUAGAUCUAGAUGUCGAUGGCAAUUUCUAACGUCAACAAAUCCUGGAGUUGAGCUGUUAGAGACAUCAAGGAAGAAAUUAUUUUUCAUAAUCGUUUGCUACUGUCUUGAUGCUCCUCACUAAAGGAACUCCUAAUAGUUUUUCCCAAAACACUUUUGAUUUUUAAAACUUGACAUGGGCUGGAAGACUCUUGACCUCCCCUGCUGUAAUUGUACCUUUCAAGGUGACAUUAUCAAACACAUCUGUCACAUCACAUACACUGAUAAACAUUAUGCAUAUGCUUUAAAAACAUAAUGCAUGGAAAAGCCUUAUGGUUUUUGGUUUCUAACACUUUUUUUAAAAAGUAAUGUUAGUUGCAGAAACAGCUAAAAUAAAUUCAUGAAUGGAUGAACAUAAGUGUCAGUGGUGAACAAACUAUAGAUUCUCACUCACCCCUUUUUGGUCAGACUUCCUCAGAGAAGAAAGCUUUCUGUUUCUAGCAGAACCUGACUCUGUAUAUUUCUGAUUGGCUGGGCCUUGUGACAAUCAAGAAACCGCCUCUCUCCAUGGCUGGGUAGUGUGCUGAUUGGUUGAUCCUUGUGGCAAUCACAAAACCACCUUCUGCCCCACCUUGUCCUGGAGCAAAUUUAAAACGAAAGCACCUUGGGUUUCUUUUUCUUUUAUAAAAUUUGCUGAAGGAACGUUUAAGUAGAUAAAAGUGUCAGGCACCUGACUAUAUAUAUAUUUAAAAAAGCCCAAAGCUUGCCCAGGGAACGAGAGGAAAUAGUUGAAAUGAGCACUUAUCCAAAGCCAGGUUUGUAAGAAGUAAAAGCUAAGGGAAACAGAAUACACCCUCCUGCAGAAAAACUGCAAGGCUAUAAGUGAAUACAGUAGAUCUCAUCACACUUGAAGUUACAUCUUAGUAUUCUCUAUUUUUAAGGAUGCCCCCCCAUCCAAGCAUCAUUCUCAUUGCUGCAUUCUGAAAACCUGUUAUGGACCCCUAAAGAUUUAUCCUGAUUGCUGACACAUUGCACAUACACAACUCAAUUCUUUAGGAAACAUUCUUGUUUAAAACCCCAUAGACAGUGUUGGUGCAUCACUGCUAUGAAAAGACCUGUCUGGUGCACAACUGAAUGAACAGUCCUGGCAGCAGGCACAUGCAAUAUGAUCCCAUUGUAAUACUGUUUGAUGCAAGAGUAUGUUUGAUCAGUUACCAGUGAUGAAUAUCAUAUCACAUCAAACAAUAUGAUACAGUCUCAUUGUAUGGAAUUAUGGCUGCUGUCAAUCAGGCAGUCUUCUGCCCCUUUAACUGUCACCUUUGGGGAAUGGAAUAAAAUGAUAGCUACACAUACAUUAAUAAAUGAGCUCCUGCAUGAAUUCCAUACAGACCUGUUGAGAUUUUGUUGUUCUUUUCUUUCUGUGGUUUCUCUCUCUCUCUCUCUCUCUCUCCCCCCUUCAUUUUCUUCUUUUUUAAAACACAUACUGAACAAGAGUUCACUUAGUUUAUAGAACUCACCAUAUGAGAAGCUCUAUAUUACCUUGUUAUGCCCCGCUCCAGAAUAACAGUAGAUAAAACCCACUUAAGUUAUAUCUGUGGUAUAGAUCAGAGGUGGGUUACCUCAGGUCUGAGGGCCAAACAUGGCCUGCCUGGUCUGCCUAGACUCUCUCUAGGUUACGCCCCUCAUUAGCCCCACUUUGCAGCCUCCCUGGGUGUUUUUACGUGGCUGGAAUGGGUCCUUGAACUCUGCUCAUGCGUCUCGUUUGCCUCAAUGGCAGUCAGCAUGUGCAAAGGUAAAAUUUAUAUUCUUUGCACCUCCCACUUUUGCCUCUAGUCCCACCCAUGACUACCAUGUGGCCUCUGGAAGGAAACACAGCCUUCAGUCUGAAAAAGGGUUGUCACUCCUUUUAUGGAUUCUCAGAAAUUAUCUUGCAUCCUAAAGAAGAGUCCUACAAACCAUGCUGACUAUUCUGUAACUUUUUCUGCUUAGGCCUAAUAGAGGUAUUUCCUGUUGAUGUUGUUAUUAUUAUUAUUAUUAUUAUUAUUAUUAUUAUUAUUAAUUGACCUAACCAUUCAUUUUUAUUUCCUAGUCUUUUCUUCUUUUUUUGAAAGAAUUAUAUUGGAGUUUGAUGAGCAUUUCUUUAACAUAAAUUACCCCAGGAACAGCCUCUAUAUUGAAAUCAUUUUCAUAUUGCUUUUGUCUGUCUACUGUCCUAGUUGGUAUAUUGCCUGCCUCCACCAGACUACAUAAAUGUCUUGUCUGUUUUGGAGUGUGUGUGUUUCUUGCCGGGGUGGGGGGUGGGGGAGAGAAUUGGUGACUUUUAGUUUCUUUGAGUUCCCUUUGUUCCUCACUACAUCUGAGUGCCUGAUUUAUGUUUAUAUGUUGACAUGGGCAUUGUGGUAUGUAUGUGCAAGAGCCAGAGAAAUGUCUACCACAUUCACAUAUGUCAGUAAAUCUGUAAGUCUGGGAUCAACACCCCUGAUUAUUAUAGUGUUUGUUUCUCCCACCAGCUGUCCCUUUCUCUUACCUAUGCACAAGGAACCUCUGAGACAGCAUGGUAGUUACAGGGCCUAUGUCUGGUAAGUCACUGUGACAGCAAGAUGGUAGACUAGGUGCCAUUAGUUUCCUCCAGCAGGACCAAUCUUACUUCCUUUUUUUUUUUUUUUGAGCAAGCAUAUCACAUAGGGAAGCACACGUCUCUUUGUCUCUCAUUUUAACUGCACAAGCACACACUCUCAGGCAUAGCAAAAGGCCAGCAACUCCGUGUAUGAUGUGUUGCUUGCUGUGCUCUGCUUCUCUGAUGGCUUCCUGCAAAUCUCACAAGAUCUGGUCAAUAGUGUAUAGAUACAGGGAAAUAGUGCAGUUGUUGUUGUUUUAGAAAAAUCAAGUAUUACCAAUAAUUUAUCCUAGUAGUAAUGGAUCUGCAGCCUGGGCCUGAAUGAACCACUAUUUACAACCACAUCUGCUCUCAUUCCUCUCUUGUUUCCUGUUCCUCUUGCUUUCCUCAAGCAUUUGCUAUCCCUGUCUCUUGCUCCCCUUUCCCCCCUUUGUUGACCUCUUGAUCGUAAGAUACCUGGGGGCAGAGGACCUGGUGCUUUGUUUUUUCAUGCAUUGCUGUGAAAAGUGCACUAUUAAUUUAUGAUGCCAAACAAACAAUUAAUUAGAAUAAGCCCGCUCAGACUGACUGUUUGAAACAGGUCUUCCUGUGCACCGCACCAACUGCAGUAUGCUGCCAUGCUGACUUCGGCUUCUGACGAAUACAAUAGCCUGUCACAUUGCCAUCUUCAGCUGUCAUGUUGUCAUCAGGCAUCCCAGACUACUGAGGGUCAGCAUUCAAAGAGAAGCUCUUCUUGCAAGCUGGGCUUCCUUUCAAGAUCAAGCCCAAGUGUGAAUCCAUUGUGCUGCACCUUAUUGCGCAGAAGACGCUAAUUUGGUAGAUGCACUCUGCCGUAUUCUGAUCUUGCCUGAUCAUACAAGCUGUGUGCAAGAGAUCUGCCAAAAGUGGUUGGAGUGGCAAAUUUCUGCCAAAACUAUGCUGCGUGGCAUGGUAUGUCGUGCUGUCGAAUCUUAGGAAAACUAUAACCCGGUAAGGUGUUGUUGUUGUAUGAAGAAGAAGAAAAAUACCACUAAGAUGCAGCCUGAGCUGAAAAGGGCUUACAGUCCAAAUAUGAGACAUAUGACAACAAGAGAAUGGAACUGUUGUUGGAGCAUCCUUCCUUCUCUUUAAAAAUACUGUUAACAGUAGUGCUUUCCUCCUGAGGUGAUUAUACCUCCAAGGGCUCCUUCUGUUAAAGAAGUAUUUGCCUAAGUCUUCUGGCCCUGUUCCAGUUUGGAUAAUUACACUCAACCUAAUUUAUUAAGUUUUAUUUGGAUGGCUGUAUUCGCCCCUUUGCUUGCCUCAAUAUUGUACAGGCGACGCUGUUAAAACUUCUGCGCGUUUUAGGAGAGGGUGAAGGCAAUUCGAUUUAGAUAUACAAAUAAGACUUUAAUGAUCCCUGAUUUGUGAAGCUGUUGUACGCAUAGCAAUUCUGGAGCCAGCAUUGUUAGGAGGUGAACUGAAACGGGAAUAAAAGUGAAUUUGUGCUCCCAUUAAGAUUGCUUUCAGACUUCAAAGCGGCUGUAAAUCAGGCUGCGGUGUUCCAGUAAGCUCACCCAUUAUCCACCGUAGUCGUGCUGACAUCUUUUCAAAUCAGAGGAUGAGGGUUUGGUGAGGAGGCCUCAUUUCAUGCAAGUACUCCCAGUAAUGGAAAACGUAACAAAAAGUUGUGCAAGUGUAUGUACCACUGAAGUAUAGAGUUGUUUUUCUUUCACAGAGCCUAACGUGCAUCAGGUUCAAAAGGGAUUCUUCUGCUGUUACACCACCACCACCACCACCACCAACAACCAAAAGAAAGUUAAGCAUUACUUUGCUUGAACAUAAAUGGUAAAUAAAGGCACUGAAGAUUCCUUCUCUCUGAAGAAAAGUUACAUGACCCAUAUGCUUAUGCAGCCAGUUGGUCUAAGAAAAGCAAUUUUUGGCAUGCUUGGAUUGCACAAACAGAACUAUUUCUUCAGAAGAAGAAGAUUGUGCAACAUGAAACUUGCUACUUUAGCAUAGCUGGUCCAAUGCUGUGCACAUUGGGCAGCUCCAAACUUAUCCUAUUUUGCUGAUUCUGUGUAAAAACAACAUGCCGCAAAUAUACAAGCAACUGACUUCAUUCGUUCAUUGUACUGACCAAAAAUACCAGAGAGACAAGUCUGGAUGAUGGGGCCAUAUAGAAGGCCAAGACUUUCUAGGUGGAUACCCUUGGAGAUGUACCCGCAUGCCAGCCUGAGUAUUUUCCACAAAUGUGGUAAAAUAUUUUGCUCAUGCUUGCUUUCAGUGCCUAAGGUUAUUAUGGGGAGAGAGAAUACUUUGUUCUGUUGGGAUUGGAGCAACAGUCAAAUAAUGUUAUAUGCAUUUUAGAAUAUAUGUGUCAAUAUUUUUAGGUAGAUAGGUUUAUGUGUGUCACUUUUAAAUAUUUAUUAUCGGUG
Molecule: long non-coding RNA, 17856 nt
Filed under: Podarcis lilfordi (Lilford's wall lizard)
Lineage: Eukaryota; Metazoa; Chordata; Lepidosauria; Squamata; Lacertidae
Source: RNAcentral